UACAGAGGGGGCAAGCGUUGUUCGGAAUUACUGGGCGUAAAGGGCGCGUAGGCGGCCUUCUAAGUCAGACGUGAAAUCCCCGGGCUCAACCCGGGAACUGCGUCUGAUACUGGAGGGCUUGAAUCCGGGAGAGGGAUGUGGAAUUCCAGGUGUAGCGGUGAAAUGCGUAGAUAUCUGGAGGAACACCGGUGGCGAAGGCGGCAUCCUGGACCGGUAUUGACGCUGAGGCGCGAAAGCCAGGGGAGCAAACGGG
This 253-nucleotide non-coding RNA is filed under the name uncultured bacterium. Its description in RNAcentral is "partial 16S ribosomal RNA". It matches the Rfam family "Bacterial small subunit ribosomal RNA", at positions 524 to 776 of the family's 1533-position model. RNAcentral also lists the same sequence under 1 other name. The record is from RNAcentral.